This 100-nucleotide transfer RNA is filed under the name Candidatus Acidianus copahuensis. It matches the Rfam family "tRNA". Rfam says of the family: Transfer RNA (tRNA) molecules are approximately 80 nucleotides in length. Their secondary structure includes four short double-helical elements and three loops (D, anti-codon, and T loops). Lineage: Archaea; Thermoproteati; Thermoproteota; Thermoprotei; Sulfolobales; Sulfolobaceae. The record is from Rfam by way of RNAcentral.
GCGGGGAUGCCCGAGCUUGGCCAAAGGGGGCGGACUUAAGAUCCGCCGAUAAGAUAUCCGCUGGUGAAGACCUGCGUGGGUUCAAGUCCCACUCCCCGCA